This is a long non-coding RNA of Arabidopsis thaliana (thale cress), 486 nucleotides long. RefSeq annotates it as other RNA. NCBI's taxonomy places the organism in Eukaryota, Viridiplantae, Streptophyta, Magnoliopsida, Brassicales, Brassicaceae. The transcript is spliced from 2 exons. The record is from RefSeq.
CUCUUCGUGUUUUGAUGUAUCUUCGUUUAUCAGGUUGGUACGGGCUCUUUAUCAAUGAUUGGAUGAAUCUGGACCAUCUGGUCCUCUAAUUGAUAUCACUAGCUCAAAUCGUCUUCAAGUUUCUGGCAUAUCUCGUCCUGAGAUAAAUUAAGACCAAACGAAAGAAGCAAACAAGAGAAUCAUCAAGUUUGCAUCAGGAUCAUAAGAACUAAUAGAAUUAGGCAAAACUUAUAAUAACCUUAACCAUAACAAGUUACCUUCCUCUACAUAUUUCCAAUACUCGUGUUCAUGCUCUACUUCACAAUCCUGAAAAAGAUUCAAAUGGAGAGACGAUGCAAAAUAGUAACAUAAUUCAUUAAAAAAAAUCAAUAUUACUCAAUUUUAGCUGAUCAUGAUCUUCUCUUGUUCUUUUUUUUCCCAAGCUUCUUCCCUGUUAGAAAAUACACAUUUGUUAGCUAAGUUCAAGAUCCAUACAUCUGCAUUCAU